Myotis davidii is the source of this 60-nucleotide non-coding RNA. NCBI's taxonomy places the organism in Eukaryota, Metazoa, Chordata, Mammalia, Chiroptera, Vespertilionidae. The record is from Rfam.
UGGUUCAGUGGUUAGAGCGUCAGCCUGUGAGGACUGAAGGGUCCCGGGUUCAAUUCCCGG